CACGUAGGAGGCAAGCGUUAUUCGGAUUUACUGGGCGUAAAGCGCGUGCAGGCGGUUCGGUAAGUUGGAUGUGAAAGCUCCUGGCUUAACUGGGAGAGGUCGUUCAAUACUACCGAACUAGAGGAUGAGAGAGGGAGGUGGAAUUCCGAGUGUAGUGGUGGAAUGCGUAGAUAUUCGGAGGAACACCAGUGGCGAAAGCGGCCUCCUGGCUCAUAACUGACGCUCAGACGCGAAAGCUAGGGUAGCAAACGGGAUUAGAGACCCCGGUAGUCCUAGCCGUAAACUAUGUAGACUUGGCGUUGGUGGGGUAAAAUCCAUCAGUGCCGAAGCAAACGCGAUAAGUCUACCGCCUGGGGACUACGAUCGCAAGAUUAAA
RNAcentral lists this ribosomal RNA (376 nucleotides) under uncultured bacterium. RNAcentral describes it as "bacterial SSU rRNA". It matches the Rfam family "Bacterial small subunit ribosomal RNA", at positions 524 to 898 of the family's 1533-position model. The record is from RNAcentral.